Molecule: ribosomal RNA, 495 nt
Filed under: uncultured bacterium
Lineage: Bacteria
Description: partial 16S ribosomal RNA
Rfam family: Bacterial small subunit ribosomal RNA
Source: RNAcentral
GACGAACGCUGGCGGCGUGCCUAAUACAUGCAAGUUGAGCGAUGAAGAUUGGUGCUUGCACCAAUUUGAAGAGCAGCGCACGGGUGAGUAACGCGUGGGGAAUCUGCCUUUGAGCGGGGGACAACAUUUGGAAACGAAUGCUAAUACCGCAUAACAACUUUAAACAUAAGUUUUAAGUUUGAAAGAUGCAAUUGCAUCACUCAAAGAUGAUCCCGCGUUGUAUUAGCUAGUUGGUGAGGUAAAGGCUCACCAAGGCGAUGAUACAUAGCCGACCUGAGAGGGUGAUCGGCCACAUUGGGACUGAGACACGGCCCAAACUCCUACGGGAGGCAGCAGUAGGGAAUCUUCGGCAAUGGACGAAAGUCUGACCGAGCAACGCCGCGUGAGUGAAGAAGGUUUUCGGAUCGUAAAACUCUGUUGGUAGAGAAGAACGUUGGUGAGAGUGGAAAGCUCAUCAAGUGACGGUAACUACCCAGAAAGGGACGGCUAACUACG